CUGGCUCAGGACGAACGCUGGCGGCGUGCUUAACACAUGCAAGUCGAACGAUGAAGCCCAGCUUGCUGGGUGGAUUAGUGGCGAACGGGUGAGUAACACGUGGGUGAUCUGCCCUGCACUCUGGGAUAAGCCUGGGAAAC
RNAcentral lists this ribosomal RNA (140 nucleotides) under Rhodococcus rhodochrous J38. Its description in RNAcentral is "partial 16S ribosomal RNA". It matches the Rfam family "Bacterial small subunit ribosomal RNA", at positions 19 to 157 of the family's 1533-position model. Lineage: Bacteria; Bacillati; Actinomycetota; Actinomycetes; Mycobacteriales; Nocardiaceae. The record is from RNAcentral.